Molecule: ribosomal RNA, 468 nt
Filed under: uncultured bacterium
Lineage: Bacteria
Description: partial 16S ribosomal RNA
Rfam family: Bacterial small subunit ribosomal RNA
Source: RNAcentral
GAUGAACGCUGACAGAAUGCUUAACACAUGCAAGUCUACUUGAAUUUGGGUUUUUUCACUUAGAUUUGGGUGGCGGACGGGUGAGUAGCGCGUAAAGAACUUGCCUCACAGCUAGGGACAACAUUUGGAAACGAAUGCUAAUACCUGAUAUUAUGAUUAUAAGGCAUCUUAGAAUUAUGAAAGCUAUAUGCGCUGUGAGAGAGCUUUGCGUCCCAUUAGCUAGUUGGAGAGGUAACGGCUCACCAAGGCGAUGAUGGGUAGCCGGCCUGAGAGGGUGAACGGCCACAAGGGGACUGAGACACGGCCCUUACUCCUACGGGAGGCAGCAGUGGGGAAUAUUGGACAAUGGACCAAGAGUCUGAUCCAGCAAUUCUGUGUGCACGAUGACGUUUUUCGGAAUGUAAAGUGCUUUCAGUUGGGAAGAAAAAAAUGACGGCACCAACAGAAGAAGUGACGGCUAAAUACGUG